GGACUCUCAACCACUGCGCCACCAGGGAAGCCCAAUAAAUUCACGUUUAAGGCUCUCCCAGGGCCGUGUGAGAACAGACUGUGGAGGUCGGGGGAGCCCUGUGGAGGAGAGGCUACUAUAACAAUCCAGGUGAGAGAUGGCCUCGGACCAGGAGGUGAGAAACGCUCAAACCUGGAGGCGCCUGAAGUUAGGCCCCUGGGGUAUGCUGAGGUGUCCCCGUGCAGUGUGAGAGGGUGUGAUGUGAGGUGACUGAGCAAGCAUCACUCUCCUUCAGGCUGGAGGCCUGGCUGCCCACGGGGGGGCCCUCCCGGCCUGCGCUCUCCACAGUUACUCUCCUUGCUGGCGGCUGCCUGAACUAGAUGGGGCUGCUUCUAAGAGCUUUCCUAGUGCCAUCGGCGAGCUCGUGAGAAGUCGCCACAUCCCCAGCGGAACGACAGCAUUUCAUCAGGACUGACUCUUCAGAACCAGGAAAAGGGAGGCACACAGAGGAGAAGGCGAUGUGAAGACAGAGAUUGGCGUGAUUCGGCCAAGGAAUGCCGGCCGCCACCAGCAGCUGGAAGAGGCAAGGAAUGAAUUCUUUUCUAAAGCCACUGGAGAGAGUAUGCCCCGCUAGCACCUCGAUUUCAGCCCAGUGAACUGAAUUUCGACUUCUGGCCUCCAGAACUAGGAGGGAAUACAUUUCUGAUGUUUUAAGCCGUCAGCGCUCACUGAAGCUUGUGGGUAACUGACAUUUCUGAAUUAACAAGACGAACAAAGGCUGGAACGAACACUGUCAGCACCGGGGACUGGAGGCUUUAAACAGGAAGGGGUGAUGGGACAUCCAAAGAACUUUCCCAAGUUCUCGGGGGGAAAAACGUGCAAUAUGUGUCUUGUGUGUGGGUGAGGUCUGUCUAGAGAAGGUAUGUAUAAAUCUAUCAAGAAGCUGAAUUUAUUUUAAACACCAAAAGAAAAGAAAUCCCACAGAAAUUUGGAAGGGUAUUAUAGAUAUCACUAGAAAAAAUCAUAAAAUUAUUCACUGGCAUCGAAAAUACCAGUAGCCACUUAUUUACAGAUACAGCCAUCCUUUCCUUACAUGGAAUCCCACGUGUCUGGGGACCAAGGAGGAGAGAGCCGGCAUUCUUUGCUUCCAGCGUGCCAGGCGCUAUAUGCUAAGCUAUUACCCCUUUGCAAAGUCUUAUAAGGUGGGUAUUCUUCUCAUGCCCACAUGGCAGCUGGGGAAGCCCAGGCUUAUAGUUUUCAGAGACCACCCAGCUGGUGAGUGGUAGGGUCAGGGUUUGAACCCAGGCCCUGGGGCCUCCGGGCCCACAUCCAUGAACACUGUGUUAUGUGGCCCUGAAUUCAAGCCUAAGCUACUCCCUCUCCUUUGGUUCUCUGACCCUUCCCAACCGACCCCUUUUAAAUCAAAAUCCGCAAAGAGGGCAGGCAAGUGUCACUGAGAGCCCAGGGCCCUUGGCACCAUGCCCAGCCCUGCAUCUGAAUCCAUCUCUGGUUCACAGGGGCCGGCUCUCCAAACCUUCUUGUUUUUGUUUGUUCCGGUAAGGUCCGAUUCAUUCCUUGAGCCACAUUGGUUAAGAGCCAUCUCUGAGGGAGGAUUAAAGGCGGGCCUUUGAAAACUGGCUGAUGAAUGAUGAGCAAGUUUCCCGGGCACUAUUAUUUGCCACACGUGCUUUUUCUCAGUGUCACAUGGUGGUUCUUUGAGGCUGGCCCUGGGCUCAGAAGGUUCAGAAAGACUCUGGAAAAAAUCUCACGGCACAACUCAAUCGUGUUUCCUUCACUGCCUGAACAAGUGGGCACUCGCGCUCAGAGCUGGAAAUGCAGUAAAACGCUUUAAGAUAACAUAAAGAACAUUUUCAGUAAAGGCCAUGCAUCAGUUAGCUAAGACUGACGUUUCUUCCCCGUUCACUCUUAGUCUGCCUACAGGUGCAGAAGACACCUAAGUGCUGGGAGAAGUAAAGCAGGUAUUAAAUUCUCCACUUGCUGUUUCCGUAAGACAUCUCUGUUCUUGUAUUUCCAGCUUCUCCAGGUGAGAAUCUGAACGUGGGGUUUGCUUAGAAAUACUGUUCAUGCAGCAUAAAUCAACAGGAUAUCAAAGUUCACCAGGAAGCUGCUUGUGUUCAGAGCCCAAAGCACCUGGGAGUGAGAGCAGACGCUGAAAUCAGAAAACCGAGCGGCCACGAAUGUCACGGCCUCGUUUUGUCCACACGUCUCAUCGUGAUUAUUGUUGGGAGGCUCUGGACCACACAUCUGACCAUUACAUACUGUAAUGUACCCACCGGAUAAGAAGAAAAACGCUCCCCUACUGCUUCUGUCUUUAAGCUGAGAUGAAUAAAAGUGAUUUUUAAAAAAGCCACAGAGUCAUAAAAUACAGUUCCUGGAAAUCUAUGAAUUGAUCCCCACUGGGUUAUCUUGAAUAUUGUGUGGAAUGAUUCCUGACUGCUUUCUCCCUCUGAUAAAUCUGCUUUUGCAUCAGAAAACCCUCGGAGUGGAGCCUGUGAACCACAUCCUCGAUGUGAGGCUGGGGUCUGGCAGGCAGCAUGGGGAAUGUGUAGGACCCACGGGCCAAUCAAGACUCUUCUGCAGGAGCUGGGGGAGAACACAGUUGUCUUCUGCCUGGUUCCCAAACCCCUUCAGGUGGUGGCUCUGCACCUGUUCUUUAUAGAACACAGUUGUGUACUGACAGGUGACGCUGAAACUAAGUAAUUUUUAUGGUUUUGUGCCAAAUCAGAUACUACUGUUGAUGCAGGAAGCAGCAGAAGGGAUCAAGGUUUUGAGACAAUUUGGGGGUAUAAAUAAAACUGGAUAAAAUACUAGCAACUUAAUUUGUUCCUUGAAAAUUGCGAACAUGUUUCGGCUUUUCAGUGCUCGUGAUGGUGGCUCUGCAGGGCCGGGGUGAGGUGCAUUGGACCGUUCAACUAAUGGAAAGCAGAAUAAAACCAA
Molecule: non-coding RNA, 2937 nt
Organism: Delphinapterus leucas (beluga whale)
Lineage: Eukaryota; Metazoa; Chordata; Mammalia; Artiodactyla; Monodontidae
Source: RefSeq, a predicted model, not a curated record